AUUAUACAUAAAAUUAUACACAACACAUAUUUAGUUCCAUCUGAAGUUGAAUUCACACACCUGCGUGGACAUGCCCCAGCCCUGCCUCUCUGUCCAUACUCACACACUGGGGCGACGGGCCGGCAUGAAGCCGCUCCCUCUGGUCUCCAUGGGGGUGGUUCUCAGGGGUCAACAGAACAAGCGGCUCUUAGUGUGUCAAAGUGGAGUGUCCACCCCUGGCGCGGGGCCAGGCCUCUUCUCUGCAGCAGCGAGGCCCCCGAGUACCCGUGGGCUCACCUGCAACAGGGUGGGGCUUUUACAAGCUGUGUCCACACAUCCUGUGCUGACGGAUCUGCUUCCAAUGUCAGGCUAGUCGCCAUCCUAGGCAGGACCCAGUCAGCUCACCGUACCUGCCUGGCAGUGGGGGUGGCGGGGAGGAGACCUAGCCCAGCCUGGGUUCCCAUUCCCCACCCCCCCUCACCCCAUGCACAAAACAGCAAACACAAGCGCAAGGCUCCUGCUUGCAGCCCUCCCGGUGAGAACAGAUGUGACCAAGGGGCAGAAGGGAGUGACAAGGGCCCCGGGGGGCUCAGGGUGGGCAGAGAAGCCCCACAAGGCUGUAGUCAACCUGCGGGUAUCCAAACGCCACGGGACCAGGUGGUCGAUCACUUGAUGGAGACCGAGGGGCUCAAUGGAACAAAACCCAAAGCGGGCCCAGCUGAUUCUCCAGAGACACUGCGCCCCUCACUCUCCCACACAGGGCCCGGGGGACCCCGGGUUUUCACAAGGUCACGCACGUGCAGGGAGGGGCCCACGAGUGGUGGGAAGGGGCACUUCCUCCCCACAAGCAGGUCUUUCCAAUGUGAGUAUUUGGGGCUGGUGCCCAGGGAACCGAGGACACAACAUCCCCAGGGGGUGUCUCUGGAAAAUAAUAGCCAAGCCAUGAAACUGAGUCUGGGCGGGGCUGAGAUGUGAGACUGUCGGGCACUUCCAGUGGUUAUUUUCUGCCUCUGUGUGUGUGUGUAUUUAUGUGGUAUGUUAUG
This 1022-nucleotide long non-coding RNA is filed under the name Bos grunniens (domestic yak). Its description in RNAcentral is "lncRNA (ENSBGRG00000006744.1)". Lineage: Eukaryota; Metazoa; Chordata; Mammalia; Artiodactyla; Bovidae. The record is from RNAcentral.